UGGUGGAUUAUAGCCUGUGAAUUCAAACAUCAUCUCAAAUUUUUAAUUUUACAUCGCAUACCCACUUCAACAAAAGACUUUCUUCAUCAAUAAAUCCAAUGAACAAGCAAACAAAAUAUGCUUAAGAUUCACCAGCACAAUCAUUGUAAAUAGCAAAAAAAAAAAAAAAAAAGAAAACUUGCUUGCUGGCUUCCCAUGUUUUUUUCCCAGAAACAGCUGAACGAUCAUUACUAAGAAUUCUCUGAUGGCUCUUUUGCAUAAUCUAUUGAUCAUGCACUUAGCUUUUCUUGUUUCGUAUGAAAAUUUCAUAGGAAAUUUCCCUGUGGACUUCUCUAUAUCAUUAUCAACUUUCUCAGCUCAUAAAUUCUCAUAGCCUCCUCUUCCAUUCUUGAACUUGCUUCAACAGUUUUCAGUUGUUCUAUGAUGGCAGGGAAUCAGAAACUAUGCUUUUUUCUUCUGUUCUUUUUUCAUCACUGCUCAAAUUUCUCUACCUCUUCAGCAGAAGCAUCCAAUGCCAAUCACCAAUUACCUAAAAGAUUUUUUGAUAUAACAGCACCUGGGUCAGCACCUGCGCCAACUCCCGAUGUACCGAAACCAGCACCUGGGUCAGCACCUGCGCCGACUCCCGAUGUACCAAAACCAGCACCUCACUCAGCGCCUGCACCAUCUCCGAAUACAACGAACGUUCACCCACCGCCGCCGCCACCUCCACC
Molecule: long non-coding RNA, 713 nt
Filed under: Manihot esculenta (cassava)
Lineage: Eukaryota; Viridiplantae; Streptophyta; Magnoliopsida; Malpighiales; Euphorbiaceae
Description: long non-coding RNA (MESC_LNC004208)
Source: RNAcentral